RNAcentral lists this ribosomal RNA (275 nucleotides) under uncultured Brevundimonas sp. Its description in RNAcentral is "partial 16S ribosomal RNA". It matches the Rfam family "Bacterial small subunit ribosomal RNA", at positions 236 to 528 of the family's 1533-position model. Lineage: Bacteria; Pseudomonadati; Pseudomonadota; Alphaproteobacteria; Caulobacterales; Caulobacteraceae. The record is from RNAcentral.
UCUGAUUAACUAGUUGGUGAUGUAAUGGCUCACCAAGGCCACGAUCAGUAGCUGGUCUGACAGGAUGACCACCCACACUGGGACUGAUACACGGCCCACACUCCUACGGGAGGCAGCAGUGGGGAAUCUUGCCCAAUGGGCGAAAGCCUGACGCAACCAUGCCGCGUGAAUGAUGAAGGUCUUAAGAUUGUAAAAUUCUUUCACCGGGGACGAUAAUGACGGUACCCGGAUAAGAAGCCCCGGCUAACUUCGUGCCAGCAGCCGCGGUAAUACAU